Molecule: transfer RNA, 72 nt
Filed under: Sarcina sp. DSM 11001
Lineage: Bacteria; Bacillati; Bacillota; Clostridia; Eubacteriales; Clostridiaceae
Also listed under: 2 other names
Rfam family: tRNA
About the family: Transfer RNA (tRNA) molecules are approximately 80 nucleotides in length. Their secondary structure includes four short double-helical elements and three loops (D, anti-codon, and T loops).
Source: Rfam by way of RNAcentral
UGGGCUAUCGCCAAGCGGUUAAGGCACAGCACUUUGACUGCUGUAUCGUUGGUUCGAUUCCAACUAGCCCAG